RNAcentral lists this ribosomal RNA (118 nucleotides) under Coccomyxa subellipsoidea C-169. The record is from RNAcentral. Lineage: Eukaryota; Viridiplantae; Chlorophyta; Trebouxiophyceae; Coccomyxaceae.
UAGAUCAUUCAUACCAGGCUGAAAACACCCGCUCUCGUCCGCUCCCGGAGACAAAUCUGCCAUGGGCGUCACUAGUAGUGGGUUGGGUGACCACCUGCAACCCGACGUGAAGAUCUGU